This 162-nucleotide small nuclear RNA is filed under the name Panthera tigris altaica (Amur tiger). RNAcentral's name for it is "U1 spliceosomal RNA (ENSPTIG00000000618.1)". It matches the Rfam family "U1 spliceosomal RNA". Rfam says of the family: U1 is a small nuclear RNA (snRNA) component of the spliceosome (involved in pre-mRNA splicing). Its 5' end forms complementary base pairs with the 5' splice junction, thus defining the 5' donor site of an intron. There are significant differences in sequence and secondary structure between metazoan and yeast U1 snRNAs, the latter being much longer (568 nucleotides as compared to 164 nucleotides in human). Lineage: Eukaryota; Metazoa; Chordata; Mammalia; Carnivora; Felidae. The record is from Rfam by way of RNAcentral.
ACAUUUACCUGGCAGGGGAGAUACCAUGAUCACGAAAGUGGUUUCCCCAGGGCGAGGUCUACCCAUUGCACUCAGAAUGUGCCGACCCGUGAUUUUCCUAAAUGUGGGACACUCGACUGCAUAACUUGUGGUAGUGGGGGACUGUGUUUGCGCUUUCCCCUA